RNAcentral lists this ribosomal RNA (253 nucleotides) under uncultured bacterium. Its description in RNAcentral is "partial 16S ribosomal RNA". It matches the Rfam family "Bacterial small subunit ribosomal RNA", at positions 524 to 776 of the family's 1533-position model. The record is from RNAcentral.
UACAGAGGGUGCGAGCGUUAAUCGGAAUUACUGGGCGUAAAGCGUGCGUAGACGGUCGCGUAAGUCAGAUGUGAAAGCCCCGGGCUCAACCUGGGAACUGCAUUUGAGACUGCUCUGCUCGGGUGCGGAAGAGGGAAGCGGAAUUUCCGGUGUAGCGGUGAAAUGCGUAGAUAUCGGAAGGAACACCAGUGGCGAAAGCGGCUUCCUGGUCCGAAACCGACGUUCAGGCACGAAAGCGUGGGGAGCAAACAGG